Molecule: ribosomal RNA, 305 nt
Filed under: uncultured bacterium
Lineage: Bacteria
Description: bacterial SSU rRNA
Rfam family: Bacterial small subunit ribosomal RNA
Source: RNAcentral
CCCUACGGGGCGCAGCAGUGGGGGAUAUUGCACAAUGGGGGAAACCCUGAUGCAGCGACGCCGCGUGUGGGAAGACGGUCCUCUGGAUUGUAAACCACUGUCCCCAGGGACGAAAAUGACGGUACCUGGGGAGGAAGCUCCGGCUAACUACGUGCCAGCAGCCGCGGUAAUACGUAGGGGGCAAGCGUUAUCCGGAUUUACUGGGUGUAAAGGGAGCGUAGGCGGUAAUGCAAGUCAGAAGUGAAAGCCCGGGGCUCAACUCCGGGACUGCUUUUGAAACUGUGUUGCUAGAUUGCAGGAGAGGG